AGCGAACGCUGGCGGCAGGCCUAACACAUGCAAGUCGAACGAACCUUUCGGGGUUAGUGGCGGACGGGUGAGUAACACGUGGGAACGUGCCUUUAGGUUCGGAAUAACUCAGGGAAACUUGUGCUAAUACCGCAUGUGCCCUUCGGGGGAAAGAUUAAUCGCCUUUAGAGCGGCGCGCGUCUGGUUUGCUAGUUGGUUGGGGUAAUGGCUCACCAAGGCGACGAUCAGUGGCUGGUCGGGUCAGAUGAUUAGCCACAUUGGGGCUGAGACACGGCCCCAAACGCGACGGGGGAGUGGAGUAGAGAGUCUUACGGAAGGAGGCAUAGCCUAACGCAGCCAUGCGGCGUGAAUGAUGAAGGUCGUAGGAUUGUAAAAUUCUUUCACCGGAAACGAUAAUGACGGUACCCGGAGAAGAAGCCCCGGCUAACUUCGUG
Molecule: ribosomal RNA, 434 nt
Filed under: uncultured bacterium
Lineage: Bacteria
Description: partial 16S ribosomal RNA
Rfam family: Bacterial small subunit ribosomal RNA
Source: RNAcentral